GCGGGCGCGGGUGACUUUGGUUUGUGGGCUGCGCACAUUCGCCCGUCUGCUUCUUCCCGCAGGUCAGCUCAGCCGAAGGGGCAGCGAAAGAGGAGCCCAAGAGGAGAUCGGCGAGGUUGUCAGCUAAACCUGCUCCUGCAAAAGUGGAAACGAAGCCAAAAAAGGCAGCAGCCAAGGAUAAAUCUUCAGACAAAAAAGUACAAACAAAAGGGAAAAGGGGGGCAAAGGGAAAACAGGCCGAAGUGACUAACCAAGAAACUAAAGAAGAUUUACCUGCAGAAAAUGGAGAAACUAAAAACGAGGAGAGUCCAGCCUCUGAUGAAGCAGGAGAGAAAGAAGCCAAGUCUGAUUAAUAUCGUAUACCAAGUCUUAUCAGUGGUUCCUGUCACCCUUGUACAAUCCAGAGGAAUAUUUUUAUCAACUAUUUUGUAAAUGCAAGUUUUUUAGUAGUUCUAGAAACAUUUUUAAGAAGGAGGGAAUCCCACCUCAUCCCAUUUUUUAAGUGUAAAUGCUUUUUUUUAAGAGGUAAAAUCAUUUGCUGGUUGUUUAUUUUUUGGUACAACCAGAAAAUAGUGGAAUAUUGAAUUAUUGGAGGCUUUGACUGUCCUGGGUGUCAGCUUAACAUUCCAUAGAUGGAGGUAGUUUUUAUAUCCUGUAAUACAAAGCAUACUAAAUGGCAAUUUGAAGUCACAGUCACAUAUUUACUGUGUCUUGAACAUUUAAAAUUAGUUCUAUUCCCAUGUUAUUUUUUAGUAGAAUUGUUUCUUAAAGAAGACCACUCCUUAAUCAUUGCUCUCCCUAUCAGAACUGUGUGCACUCUGUAACAUCUUUGGUCAUGGUAGUCUAGUUUUCCUAAUAGUUUUGUUAAUGUGUUGUGAAUGAUUAGAAAUUUGAUUAUGUAGUGUAUAUGAUAUUAAAUUGUGAAUUGGUGGGACUUAUGUAACAGCUUACCAACAUCUGGAGAUACUGGUACUUGAUAUCCUCUUAAGGAAAAUUUGCCUCCAAAUUUGAAGCUGGAAGGUCACUGGAAAACUUUUUAAAAAAAUCAUGAUAUGUGGCUUUUUAGAAUUUCGGUACAUAUGUUAAGAAUUGUGUACAAAUUGAAAUGUCUGUAAUGAUCCUCAACACAACCAAUAAAAUCUCAAUUAUGAAAGAAUGUUUUGAAGCACAUGG
Long non-coding RNA from Galeopterus variegatus (Sunda flying lemur), 1173 nucleotides. RefSeq lists it as uncharacterized. NCBI's taxonomy places the organism in Eukaryota, Metazoa, Chordata, Mammalia, Dermoptera, Cynocephalidae. The record is from RefSeq and is a predicted model, not a curated record. The transcript has 5 exons.